CCGCCAACAAUGGAUUAAAAAAUAUAGACAACAGUUUUAUUUAAAUAACUCUCCAAAUGAUGAUUUAGAGAGAUAGUUUCAUGAAUACUCUUAGAGAUGCUUUAAGACCCUUAAACUUAAGGUCCGUACUAAAUUAGCGACAAGUCAUUUUUCUUUCUCGUUUCAAAAUAAAUUAGGAGCAGACAAAAAAUAUAAUUUUUUUCACCUGCUUCAGCUCAUCUACACUUCGGUAGCAAGAAAGUCCAAAUUGUUUAGACUUUAGAGGCAUAGCAUAGAGAACCUUAAUCGGUGAAACUUAUGUUGUCAAAAAAAAAAAAUCGGUGAAACUUAAGGCCUG
RNAcentral lists this long non-coding RNA (337 nucleotides) under Sorghum bicolor (sorghum). RNAcentral's name for it is "long non-coding RNA (SBIC_LNC016950)". Lineage: Eukaryota; Viridiplantae; Streptophyta; Magnoliopsida; Poales; Poaceae. The record is from RNAcentral.